Molecule: ribosomal RNA, 469 nt
Filed under: uncultured bacterium
Lineage: Bacteria
Description: bacterial SSU rRNA
Rfam family: Bacterial small subunit ribosomal RNA
Source: RNAcentral
ACUACGCUGGCGGCGCGCCUAACACAUGCAAGUCGAACGGACUUUGGGACUUCGGUUCAAAGUUAGUGGCGGACGGGUGAGUAACGCGUAGAUGACGUGCCUUCCUCCUGGGGAUAACAACUCGAAAGGGUUGCUAAUACCGAAUACAUUUGCGAUUUUAUCAAUUGCAAAGAAAGUCGUAAGGCGGGGGAAGAGCGGUCUGCGUCCUAUUAGCUAGUUGGUAGGGUAACGGCCUACCAAGGCGACGAUGGGUAGCUGGUCUGAGAGGAUGAUCAGCCACACUGGGACUGAGACACGGCCCAGACUCCUACGGGAGGCAGCAGUGAGGAAUUUUGCACAAUGGGGGAAACCCUGAUGCAGCGACGCCGCGUGGGCGAAGACGGUCUUCGGAUUGUAAAGCCCUGUCAGUGGGAAAGAUAAUGACGGUACCCGCUGAGGAAGCUCCGGCAAACUCCGUGCCAGCCGCGGC